CACACUUUUAUCCUAACUGUCAUCGACAAUGCAUUCUUCAUGUAUUCUUUCUCUAAGUUGCAAGGGCAAUGGCCUACUAAUACCCCCAGGUAUGGUUUGCAGCCAGGUCUCAUAUCUUUGAGUGUACCCUGGAUUAUCCAUACCUACUUUGAGAGUAUCCACACCUAUUUUUAUUGCGUGAUGCCAGAAUUCUUCAUAUUUACUUUCGCCUAAGGCUUGAUCCUUAAAAUGGUCUACAU
RNAcentral lists this long non-coding RNA (239 nucleotides) under Capsicum annuum. Its description in RNAcentral is "long non-coding RNA (CANN_LNC005698)". The record is from RNAcentral. Lineage: Eukaryota; Viridiplantae; Streptophyta; Magnoliopsida; Solanales; Solanaceae.